This 676-nucleotide ribosomal RNA is filed under the name uncultured bacterium. RNAcentral describes it as "bacterial SSU rRNA". It matches the Rfam family "Bacterial small subunit ribosomal RNA", at positions 31 to 705 of the family's 1533-position model. The record is from RNAcentral.
GGACCUUGCGGCAGCCUUAACUGCAGUCGAACGGCAGCACGGGAGCUUGCUCCUGGUGGCGAGUGGCGAACGGGUGAGUAAUAUAUCGGAACGUGCCCUAGAGUGGGGGAUAACUAGUCGAAAGAUUAGCUAAUACCGCAUACGAUCUAAGGAUGAAAGUGGGGGAUCGCAAGACCUCAUGCUCGUGGAGCGGCCGAUAUCUGAUUAGCUAGUUGGUGAGGUAAAGGCUCACCAAGGCGACGAUCAGUAGCUGGUCUGAGAGGACGACCAGCCACACUGGAACUGAGACACGGUCCAGACUCCUACGGGAGGCAGCAGUGGGGAAUUUUGGACAAUGGGGGCAACCCUGAUCCAGCAAUGCCGCGUGAGUGAAGAAGGCCUUCGGGUUGUAAAGCUCUUUUGUCAGGGAAGAAACGGUAGAGGCUAAUAUCCUUUGCUAAUGACGGUACCUGAAGAAUAAGCACCGGCUAACUACGUGCCAGCAACCGCGGUAAUACGUAGGGUGCAAGCGUUAAUCGGAAUUACUGGGCGUAAAGCGUGCGCAGGCGGUUGUGCAAGACAGAUGUGAAAUCCCCGGGCUCAACCUGGGAAUUGCAUUUGUGACUGCACAACUAGAGUGUGUCCCAGGGGGGUAAAAUUCCACGUGUACGAUGGAAAUGCGUAAAUUGUGGCAGGA